This 1497-nucleotide ribosomal RNA is filed under the name Candidatus Methanophagales archaeon. Its description in RNAcentral is "bacterial SSU rRNA". It matches the Rfam family "Archaeal small subunit ribosomal RNA". The record is from RNAcentral. Lineage: Archaea; Methanobacteriati; Methanobacteriota; Methanomicrobia; Candidatus Methanophagales.
UAGCAACACUGGUUGAUCCUGCCAGAGGCUACUGCUAUCAGAGUUCGAUUAAGCCAUGUUAGUCGAGGGGUGGUCAUCGGAUGCUUGCAUCUGAUGGCCAAACCGGCGGACGGCUCAGUAACACGUGGACAACCUACCCUUGGGUCCGGGAUAACCCCGGGAAACUGGGGCUAAUACCGGAUGGGACAUCGCUUGCUGGAAUGCAGGAUGUCCGAAAGCUGAGGCGCCCAAGGAUGGGUCUGCGGCCGAUUAGGUAGUUGUUGAUGUAACGGAUCAACAAGCCUACGAUCGGUACGGGUUGUGAGAGCAAUAGCCCGGAGAUGGGUUCUGAGAAAAGAACCCAGGUCCUACGGGACGCAUCAGGCGCGAAAACUUUACAAUGUGCGAAAGCACGAUAAGGGAACUCUGAGUGCCUCCUAAGGAGGCUGUUCAGGUGCCUAAAAAGCACCUGGAGUAAGGGCUGGGUAAGACCGGUGCCAGCCGCCGCGGUAACACCGGCAGCCCAAGUGGUAGCCACUUUUAUUGGGUCUAAAGCGUCCGUAGCCGGUUGAGUAAGUUCCUUGGGAAAUUUGGCUGCUUAACAGUCAAGCUUCCAGGGAAUACUGCUCGACUUGGGACUGGGAGAGGUCAGAGGUACUCCAGGGGUAGGGGUGAAAUCCGUUAAUCCCUGGGGGACCACCGGUAGCGAAGGCGUCUGACCAGACCAGGUCCGACGGUGAGGGACGAAGGCUAGGGUCGCGAACCGGAUUAGAUACCCGGGUAGUCCUAGCAGUAAACGAUGCGGGCUAGGUGUUGGCAUCACUGCGAGUGGUGCCAGUGCCGAAGGGAAGCCGUUAAGCCCGCCAUCUGGGGAGUACGGUCGCAAGGCUGAAACUUAAAGGAAUUGGCGGGGGAGCACCACAACGGGUGGAGCCUGCGGUUCAAUUGGAUUCAACGCCGGAAAACUCACCGGAGGAGACAGCGAGAUGAAGGUCAGGCUGAAGACCUUACCAGAUUAGCUGAGAGGUGGCGCAUGGCCGUCGGCAGUUCGUGCUGUGAAGCAUCCUGUUAAGUCAGGCAACGGGCGAGACCCGCGCUCACAGUUGCCAGCAUCUCCACAAGGAGGAUGGGCACUCUGUGAGGACCGCCACCGCUAAGGUGGAGGAAGGAGCGGGCCACGGUAGGUCAGUAUGCCCCGAAUCCUCCGGGCUACACGCGUGCUACAAUGGGUAGUACAAUGGGUACCGACCCCGAAAGGGGAAGGAAAUCCCCUAAAGCUACCCUAAGUUGGGAUCGAGGGCUGCAACUCGCCCUCGUGAACCCGGAAUCCGUAGUAAUCGCCCCUCAAAAUGGGGCGGUGAAUAUGUCCCUGCUCCUUGCACACACCGCCCGUCAAGCCAGCCGAGUGGGGUUCAGGUGAGGACAUCCUUAUUGGGGUGUUCGAACCUGAGCCUCGCAAGGGGGGCUAAGUCGUAACAAGGUAGCCGUAGAGGAAUCUGCGGCUGGAUCACCUCCUAA